Molecule: unclassified non-coding RNA, 443 nt
Filed under: Gregarina sp. Phaedon/Daegwallyeong/2010
Lineage: Eukaryota; Apicomplexa; Conoidasida; Eugregarinorida; Gregarinidae
Description: partial 28S-18S intergenic spacer
Source: RNAcentral
AAAACCCCAGCUUGAAGUGCUGCUAACUACACCUGAGUUAGUCUAAAGUUUUAACGUUAUUCAGGUGUGAUAAUUAUGACUGAUUAGACGAUCGGAAUGCGAGUACAAGUUGUAAUGGUGAAAGUAGACCUUGUGCUACGAUCAGUUGAGACGCUCCACUCGCAAUAUAUUAUUAAUCCAUGACUAUCGUUUUUUUAAAAAACUUUGCGAAUUUUCCGAUAGUGUUGAAAAUUAAUUGCAAGUUGGGGCACUCACAAAAUGCAUUAUUGUGGAGUGAUGCAUAAGCAAAGCUCCGAGUAAGGUUUGAAAAGAUAAUGUAGUACUAACGGUUGGAGACGAUAAGUUAAGCAAUGUCUUGAUUCUCCGGUGUCUGAUGACGAAAUUGAGUUAGUUCAGUGUAGCAUGAUUUAGUGUUCAUUACUAACUAUCAAAGUUCAAAUCUA